RNAcentral lists this ribosomal RNA (500 nucleotides) under uncultured bacterium. Its description in RNAcentral is "partial 16S ribosomal RNA". It matches the Rfam family "Bacterial small subunit ribosomal RNA", at positions 30 to 523 of the family's 1533-position model. The record is from RNAcentral.
AUUGAACGCUGGCGGCAUGCCUUACACAUGCAAGUCGAACGGCAGCACGGGAGCAAUCCUGGUGGCGAGUGGCGAACGGGUGAGUAAUAUAUCGGAACGUGCCCAGUCGUGGGGGAUAACGCAGCGAAAGCUGUGCUAAUACCGCAUACGAUCUACGGAUGAAAGCGGGGGAUCGCAAGACCUCGCGCGAUUGGAGCGGCCGAUAUCAGAUUAGCUAGUUGGUGAGGUAAAGGCUCACCAAGGCGACGAUCUGUAGCUGGUCUGAGAGGACGACCAGCCACACUGGAACUGAGACACGGUCCAGACUCCUACGGGAGGCAGCAGUGGGGAAUUUUGGACAAUGGGCGAAAGCCUGAUCCAGCAAUGCCGCGUGCAGGAUGAAGGCCUUCGGGUUGUAAACUGCUUUUGUACGGAACGAAACGGUGAGCUCUAAUACAGUUUGCUAAUGACGGUACCGUAGGAAUAAGCACCGGCUAACUACGUGCCAGCCGCCGCCGUAA